UACGUAGGUGGCGAGCGUUAUCCGGAUUUACUGGGCGUAAAGUGGGCGCAGACGGUCUGGUAAGUCAGAUGUAAAAUCUCUCGGCCUAACCGGGUGGUUGCAUUUGAUACUGUCAGACUUGAGGACAACAGAGGGAGGUAGAAUUCCCGGUGUAGUGGUGAAAUGCGUAGAUAUCGGGAGGAAUACCAGUGGCGAAGGCGGCCUCCUGGGUUGUUUCUGACGUUCAUGCCCGAAGGUGUGGGGAGCAAAC
Molecule: ribosomal RNA, 250 nt
Filed under: uncultured bacterium
Lineage: Bacteria
Description: partial 16S ribosomal RNA
Rfam family: Bacterial small subunit ribosomal RNA
Source: RNAcentral